UUUUAUAUCAAUCGAUCUAAAAAUGUUACAUUUAAAGGGUGAAUACCACCGAAAUUUAAGUUUAAAGAAUGGUAUCAAGGUUCAAAUAUGUAAUGAACAGAGACGUGGGAUUCUAAUUGAGAUAAAAAAAGAACAAGACAUAAAUAAAAAAAGAACAAUGUCACGACUUUCUAAAUAUUAUUAGUAAGGUUUUAAAAUUCCCAUUUAAAGAUGACACUCUAUACAUAAAGGAGAUUGAAGAUUUAUGUUUGAAUCAAUUGAGAGUCUAUUCGAGGUAUUUUUUAUUGUUUAUUUCUUUUAAUUAGUUAACAUGAUGAGAAACUUUUUUAACUGAAAAUAAUUUCAAUUUAGUGACACCGACCUUAAAAUAAAGUAGGCUCUCGAUUCAGUUUUAUUUUGGAAUGUCAAUCGAAGAAUAAAGUUUUUGUUAGCUGUCUAUUGACCUUUUAUCGACCAUCACCGGAUCUAGAAAUUGAUCAGAGUUUAGGUUUCGGAGUUGGCAUCAUACUCUUGGCAAUGCUACUUUAGAUACGGUCUACAAUUAUAAAUUAGAACAUAAGACGUGGCCUAAAAACUACAGUGUCAUUUCCAAAUUUUGUAGAAACUGUAUCAAGCACGCAAAGUACCAAGAUAAAAAAAUGAAGCACCUGGUGAUGUGUCCUGAUAAAAUUCAUGAAUUAUUUAUGGAAAAACGUGUUGAUGUUUUAAAUGAGAGCAUAUUGACCACGAGUCAAAUUUUUGGAAUUCAACCCACCUCUGUUCACGUCGUGAAAAGAUUGAAUCCAUAUGGAGGUCAUUAGCAAAUCAAAUCGGCCUAUAGGAUAUGUGAAAAAGGCCUAUAACUCCUUUCACUACCAAACAAUGAAGCUGGUCUACUCCUUUGGUUAUUCAAGAAAAUAAACAAAGCCCAAGACUAGCAUAUGCUUCAGCAACUUAAAGAGCCAAAAUAA
Long non-coding RNA from Arachis duranensis, 950 nucleotides. RefSeq lists it as uncharacterized. NCBI's taxonomy places the organism in Eukaryota, Viridiplantae, Streptophyta, Magnoliopsida, Fabales, Fabaceae. The record is from RefSeq and is a predicted model, not a curated record. The transcript is spliced from 4 exons.